AUUAGGAUCCCACCAGGCAUACAGUAGUAAUUGCAAGCAAUAAUAUCUAACAGUGGUACAUAAAGUAUGUUAGGGGAUAGUUUUAGUACGUAGGCGCUACGUAUAGUGAAUCGUACAUACGACUGGCACUGUGGCCACUAGUAUGUACGAAGAUUUUUGUCUCCGGCUC
Molecule: non-coding RNA, 169 nt
Organism: Glossina morsitans morsitans
Lineage: Eukaryota; Metazoa; Arthropoda; Insecta; Diptera; Glossinidae
Source: Rfam